RNAcentral lists this ribosomal RNA (468 nucleotides) under uncultured bacterium. RNAcentral describes it as "partial 16S ribosomal RNA". It matches the Rfam family "Bacterial small subunit ribosomal RNA", at positions 28 to 507 of the family's 1533-position model. The record is from RNAcentral.
GACGAACGCUGGCGGCGUGCUUAACACAUGCCAGUCGAACGGAAAGGCCCUGCUUUUGUGGGGUGCUCGAGUGGCGAACGGGUGAGUAACACGUGAGUAACCUGCCCUUGACUUUGGGAUAACUUCAGGAAACUGGGGCUAAUACCGGAUAGGAGCUCCUGCUGCAUGGUGGGGGUUGGAAAGUUUCGGCGGUUGGAGAUGGACUCGCGGCUUAUCAGCUUGUUGGUGGGGUAGUGGCUUACCAAGGCUUUGACGGGUAGCCGGCCUGAGAGGGUGACCGGCCACAUUGGGACUGAGAUACGGCCCAGACUCCUACGGGAGGCAGCAGUGGGGAAUAUUGCACAAUGGGCGGAAGCCUGAUGCAGCAACGCCGCGUGCGGGAUGACGGCCUUCGGGUUGUAAACCGCUUUCGCCUGUGACGAAGCGUGAGUGACGGUAAUGGGUAAAGAAGCACCGGCUAACUACGUG